AGGCCAGACUCCUACGGGAGGCAGCAGUGGGGAAUAUUGGACAAUGGGGGGAACCCUGAUCCAGCGACGCCGCGUGAGUGAAGAAGUAUUUCGGUCUGUAAAGCUCUAUCAGCAGGGAAGAAAAUGACGGUACCUGACUAAGAAGCCCCGGCUAACUACGUGCCAGCAGCCGCGGUAAUACGUAGGGGGCAAGCGUUAUCCGGAUUUACUGGGUGUAAAGGGAGCGUAGACGGUGCAGCAAGUCUGAUGUGAAAGGUCGGGGCCCAACCCCUGGACUGCUUUGGGAACUGUACGGCUGGAGUGCAGGAGAGGUAAGUGGAAUUCCUAGUGUAGCGGUGAAAUGCGUAGAUAUUAGGAGGAACACCGGUGGCGAAGGCGGCUUACUGGACUGUAACUGACGUUGAGGCUCGAAAGCGUGGGGAGCAAACAGGAUUAGAUACCCCCGUA
Molecule: ribosomal RNA, 447 nt
Filed under: uncultured bacterium
Lineage: Bacteria
Description: bacterial SSU rRNA
Rfam family: Bacterial small subunit ribosomal RNA
Source: RNAcentral